This 497-nucleotide ribosomal RNA is filed under the name uncultured bacterium. RNAcentral describes it as "partial 16S ribosomal RNA". It matches the Rfam family "Bacterial small subunit ribosomal RNA", at positions 28 to 523 of the family's 1533-position model. The record is from RNAcentral.
GAUGAACGCUGGCGGCGUGCUUAACACAUGCAAGUCGAACGAAGCACUUUUAUUUGAUUUCUUCGGAAUGAAGAUUUUAGUGACUGAGUGGCGGACGGGUGAGUAACGCGUGGGUAACCUGCCUCAUACCGGGGGAUAACAGUUAGAAAUGACUGCUAAUACCGCAUAAGACCACAGCACCGCAUGGUGCAGAGGUAAAAACUUCGGUGGUAUGAGAUGGACCCGCGUCUGAUUAGGUAGUUGGUGGGGUAACGGCCUACCAAGCCGACGAUCAGUAGCCGACCUGAGAGGGUGACCGGCCACAUUGGGACUGAGACACGGCCCAAACUCCUACGGGAGGCAGCAGUGGGGAAUAUUGCACAAUGGGGGAAACCCUGAUGCAGCGACGUCGCGUGAGCGAUGAAGUAUUUCGGUAUGUAAAGCUCUAUCAGCAGGGAAGAAAAUGACGGUACCUGACUAAGAAGCACCGGCUAAAUACGUGCCAGCCGCCGCAGUAA